This 508-nucleotide long non-coding RNA is filed under the name Salmo salar (Atlantic salmon). RNAcentral's name for it is "lncRNA (ENSSSAG00000103547.1, ENSSSAG00020076782.1)". Lineage: Eukaryota; Metazoa; Chordata; Actinopteri; Salmoniformes; Salmonidae. The record is from RNAcentral.
CCAUCAUCUGGUAGCACACAGGUCAUUAAGUGACUCAUGGGCGUGAUUUCAAAUGCGGUUCAACAUUGCUUCAGAAAUAUGCUGGAACUCCUUGAAACAAAUAACCCACAAUCAUAAGAAGCUGACUGCUCUGGCCAAACCUCUGGCUAGUCAUACUCCCAGAAGAUGAUGGCAAUUCAUUGGCCAAGGGAGGAUAUGGAUGACCAUGAAUGAGGAAGCACUUUUCCCUGGGAGGAAAUGGAAACCAGUGGAUAUAACAUGUCAGCUGUGGUGUUUGGAGGAAUAAUAUACAUUAGGGUUAUGAGGGUUUACAGCCACACACACGUCUGGUUGAUCCUGAGAGUCAAACAGAUGAUGAUUCAUGGCAGACCACCCCGAUAGCAUAGCAAACUGUGGCACAAAAAGUGUGCGUGUGUGCAGUCUGCAUGUGAUGUAUUCCUUUGUUCAUAGUGCAAAGAGGAUGGCUACAGAGAAAAUGGGAUAUUUUAAAGUGGACAGACAAGACAAG